UAAGUCACCACGGCACGAACGUUCAUCAAAAGAUUACUUGAAAUAAUGACAGUUAAGGGAGGUCAAAGUUAACUACAAGGAAUUUGUAAGAUCUAUUCUUGUACCCUUUCUCUUUGCGACUGCACAUUUUUCUUUCAAGCCAAUAAUAAAAUCAUUCUUCUUUGCAUAUUUACACUUCGAUUUAUUCUUGUAUACCUACAUUCAGAUUCAUCUAUCCUAUAUGUACCCACAUUCGGACGUUAUUUCUCUUCUCCAUCUUUAUUUUAUGCGCUAUUAAUUUGUUAAAAUAUUUUGUCAUAAGAUUGGGAUUUGGAUAUUGAUAACAUCAUGUACUUUGCUAUGAGAUUUG
This 349-nucleotide unclassified non-coding RNA is filed under the name Hevea brasiliensis (rubber tree). The record is from RNAcentral. Lineage: Eukaryota; Viridiplantae; Streptophyta; Magnoliopsida; Malpighiales; Euphorbiaceae.